AAAAAAAAAAAAAAAAAAAAAAACUAGCUAAGCUACUAUUAUGGAAGUAAAGUAAAGAGUUGGUAGUUCAAGGUUUGGAGGAAAUAAGGUAAUAAAGAGUUCUAAGAAAGAAAAAGUUUGAGAAGGUGAAGGGAAGAGAAUAAACAACAUAGGAAGCUUUUGUUUGUGUGGGUUAAUAACGAGAUUGAGGAUGCUAUUUGUUUUUUAAAAUUAAUUUAAUUUAAUAUUUGUUUGUUGUGUUUUUGUUGGAAGAAUUUGGGUUUACUUUGUUUUUGUUGGGUUAGGGUUA
This 289-nucleotide long non-coding RNA is filed under the name Cicer arietinum (chickpea). RNAcentral describes it as "long non-coding RNA (CARI_LNC002444)". The record is from RNAcentral. Lineage: Eukaryota; Viridiplantae; Streptophyta; Magnoliopsida; Fabales; Fabaceae.